GCUCGUCGGAAGUGGAAAACUGUUGCUCGCGAAAUGAUCUCACUCAAGGUCACUGGGAGGCGUGGAGCCGAGGUCUCACUCGAGGUCAUUCGAUCAAGUUAAAAAAGAGGUUAGGGAGGAGAUUUGAUCUGGAGGCUAGGCAUGGAGUGCAGCUGAUCUGAGGUGACCUCGCUCGCUCCCCAUUUCUCGCUCUCGCAUGCUCGCUCUCUUCCAAUCCCUCUUUCUCGGUCGAUCGCCGUCAGGGCUCGCUCGCGGUCAGUGACCGGACUUCAACUCGCGCGUUGGCAUGGCUCGCUCUCGCUCUCUGGCACCGGUCUUCAACUCUCGGUCGAAUCGCCGACCGGGCUCGCUCGACUUGCUCGCGCUGACAUGCCUUCGCUCGCGGUCAGGCAACCUUCCAUUCGAUUUGCGAUCAGACGAAUGCUUCUAUUUCGCGCGAUUCACUCGCUGAUUGCGUUAGCUCGCUCGUUCGCUGGAGGGCGAAUGAGCGAACUUCUCUUCGCUAGGGAUUUGUCUGCAAGGGGGAAAAUCGCGAGUACGACUUUAGUUGGAAAGAAAAAAAAUCGAUUUAUUAGGAAAAAAAAUGUCAACCACGUCUAAGGUCUAACCCACACUUAUUUAAGAAAAAACAUGAGUGCAAUUGACAACUACUUACAAUCUAAAUUUUGAAUUUAUAAUUUAACUUAAUUUUGGACCAAUAAUUAUUAAUUAAUAAAUCAAAUAAUUAAUACGUUAGUAAUCAAAUUAAUUAAUUAAUUUUAUUUGAUGUGGGUUUAAACUUAGUUCAAAACUCAGAAAACAUUUUGCAUAUUUCAGUGAAAUUUAAUAAUGAAAAUGAAGAACUCAAAGAACAUCAAUAAUAAUCAAGUGAUUUUAUUAAUUUCCAUAUAUUUAUUUAUUAAUUUAUAAUAGUGGUACAUGUGGCAUUAUUUAUGGAUAAUUGAGACAAUUCAAUUACAAAUGUUAAUGUAGACAUCAUACUUUACAAUAUUAUUAUUGGUGACCGGAUCAGCGUAAAUCGAUUGAGAUAGGAAAUAUCCGGUAGCACCUCUGAACACACCACUUCCUCCGUCGAAACCUCCCUUAAAGGACUAGUGAUAUUAACUCUUCCCAAAAAGCUCAAAAUACUAUCUUGAUACUCGUACAAAAACAAGUUCAUUGUUAUAUCGGAUUCUCGGGUGUAAAGAGUAUAAAUACCUUGUGUCUUGCCAAUAACAUCCCCCGUUGGAUCGGAUUCAAGAGUCACUGGUUUGUCGAAAGCAUAAUUAUUUCCAAAAUUAAAAGAAUAGGAACCAGGAGUAAAGUUGGUGGCACUGGCUACCAUGAGGGAUGAUGGAGCCGACCCAGUGAAAUUCUCGUGCCAUUAGAAAGAGAGGUGGGUUUCUGUAACUUUCUUAAUCAAUGAAGUCUCAUCAUAAGCGUAGCAAAAGGAGACGAGGGCGGUUGAAGAGAUGAAGAGGGAGAGAACCAUGAAUGUAUUGAAUCUCUGAAUCUCACCAUUGUAUCAAUAUGUGGUUAGUUGAUUCUAAUAAUUGAAGCAUUGGUUCCAUUUAUAGAUCUAUAAAUUAUGCG
Molecule: long non-coding RNA, 1572 nt
Filed under: Zostera marina
Lineage: Eukaryota; Viridiplantae; Streptophyta; Magnoliopsida; Alismatales; Zosteraceae
Description: long non-coding RNA (ZMAR_LNC004935)
Source: RNAcentral